UCUUUUCCCUUGUCUGUUUUGUGCUAGGAAGGAGCUGUGCUGUGCUGUGCUGUUAAGAGUUUAGAGCCUGUUUUUUGCUUGACCAGGAUCCUGUGAAAAUAUGGGGACAGUAGAGAAGGUGUUUUGCAGAAUUUUGCUGCUUCUUUUACUACAGUGUGAAAUAGGUUGGAUGCAAGAAGCAGUAAAUUCUCCAGCUUUUAUAGAAAGUACCUGCCUCUCCAGCAUAUUUUGGGUGAAGCUAGACAAGUCCUUUCUUCAGAAGAAGUUUUUCAAGAUCGAAGUAAUUGGUGAGCUAUCUGAGAUGUUGGA
Pseudonaja textilis is the source of this 309-nucleotide non-coding RNA. The record is from RefSeq and is a predicted model, not a curated record. Lineage: Eukaryota; Metazoa; Chordata; Lepidosauria; Squamata; Elapidae.